CGAAGGGUGCAAGCGUUAAUCGGAAUUACUGGGCGUAAAGCGCGCGUAGGUGGUUUUGUAAGUUGGAGGUGAAAUCCCCGGGCUCAACCUGGGAACUGCCUCCAAAACUGCAUGACUAGAGUACGGUAGAGGGUAGUGGAAUUUCCUGUGUAGCGGUGAAAUGCGUAGAUAUAGGAAGGAACACCAGUGGCGAAGGCGACUACCUGGACUGAUACUGACACUGAGGUGCGAAAGCGUGGGGAGCAAACAGGAUU
RNAcentral lists this ribosomal RNA (254 nucleotides) under uncultured bacterium. RNAcentral's name for it is "partial 16S ribosomal RNA". It matches the Rfam family "Bacterial small subunit ribosomal RNA", at positions 526 to 779 of the family's 1533-position model. The record is from RNAcentral.